RNAcentral lists this unclassified non-coding RNA (241 nucleotides) under plant metagenome. Its description in RNAcentral is "partial contains small subunit ribosomal RNA, internal transcribed spacer 1, and 5.8S ribosomal RNA". The record is from RNAcentral.
UUUCCGUAGGUGAACCUGCGGAAGGAUCAUUAAAGAGUAAGGGUCUUCGGGCCCGUUCUCCAACCCUUUGUUUAACUACCAUGUUGCUUUGGCGGGCCCGUCUCACGACCGCCGGAAGUUUGGCUUCGACCAAACUUCUGGCCCGUGCCCGACAGUGGCCCCUUCAAAUUCUUGAUCAAUUAUGAUGUCUUAGUUAAAAACUUAAUAGUUAAAACUUUCAACAACGGAUCUCUUGGCUCUG